CCUACGGGAGGCAGCAGUGGGGAAUAUUGGGCAAUGGGCGCAAGCCUGACCCAGCAACGCCGCGUGAAGGAAGAAGGCUUUCGGGUUGUAAACUUCUUUUAUCAGGGACGUAACACGUGACGGUACCUGAUCACUAAGCCUCGGCUAACUACGUGCCAGCAGCCGCGGUACUACGUAGGUGGCAAGCGUUAUCCGGAUUUACUGGGUGUAAAGGGCGUGUAGGCGGGAGUGCAAGUCAGAUGUGAAACCUAUGGGCUCAACCCAUAGCCUGCAUUUGAAACUGUAGGUCUUGAGUGCUGGAGAGGAAAUCGGAAUUCCGGGUGUAGCGGUGAAAUGCGUAGAUAUAAGGAGGAACACCAGUGGCGAAGGCGGAUUGCUGGACAGUAACUGACGCUGAGGCGCGAAAGCGUGGGGAGCAAACAGGAUUAGAUACCCGGGUAGUC
This 443-nucleotide ribosomal RNA is filed under the name uncultured bacterium. Its description in RNAcentral is "partial 16S ribosomal RNA". It matches the Rfam family "Bacterial small subunit ribosomal RNA", at positions 338 to 795 of the family's 1533-position model. The record is from RNAcentral.